GUCCCGGCAACGGGAUGAGUACAGCGGCGAACGGGUGAGUAACGCGUGGGCAAUCUGUCCUUCAGCCCGGGAUAACCCGCCGAAAGGUGGGCUAAUACCGGAUGACGUUCUCGUGGGGAAUCCCGCGGGAACCAAAGGGGGCGAGCAUUAGCAGCUCUCACUGGAGGAGGAGCCUGCGUCCGAUUAGCUAGUUGGUGGGGUAACGGCCUACCAAGGCGACGAUCGGUAGCCGGCCUGAGAGGGCGACCGGCCACACUGGAACUGAGACACGGUCCAGACUCCUACGGGAGGCAGCAGUGGGGAAUAUUGCGCAAUGGGCGAAAGCCUGACGCAGCGACGCCGCGUGGGCGAUGAAGGCCUUCGGGUCGUAAAGCCCUGUCGGGUGGAACGAAUCUCCCUGUGGCGAAUACCCACAGGGAUUGACGGUACCACCGAAGGAAGCUCCGGCUAACUACGUGCCAGCAGCCGCGGUAAUACGUAGGGAGCGAGCGUUGUUCGGAUUUACUGGGCGUAAAGCGCGCGUAGGCGGCCUUGUAAGUCGGGUGUGAAAGCCUUCGGCUCAACCGAGGGUCCGCGCCCGAGACUGCUUGGCUCGAGUCUAGGAGAGGAGAGCGGAAUUCCCAGUGUAGCGGUGAAAUGCGUAGAUAUUGGGAGGAACACCGGUGGCGAAGGCGGCUCUCUGGACUAGUACUGACGCUGAGGCGCGAAAGCUAGGGGAGCGAACGGGAUUAGAUACCCCGGUAGUCCUAGCCGUAAACGAUGGGCACUAGGUGUGGGAGGUAUUGACCCCUUCCGUGCCGCAGCUAACGCAUUAAGUGCCCCGCCUGGGGAGUACGGCCGCAAGGUUGAAACUCAAAGGAAUUGACGGGGGCCCGCACAAGCGGUGGAGCAUGUGGUUCAAUUCGACGCAACGCGAAGAACCUUA
RNAcentral lists this ribosomal RNA (925 nucleotides) under uncultured bacterium. RNAcentral describes it as "bacterial SSU rRNA". It matches the Rfam family "Bacterial small subunit ribosomal RNA", at positions 73 to 973 of the family's 1533-position model. The record is from RNAcentral.